GACGAACGCUGGCGGCGUGCUUAACACAUGCAAGUCGAACGGAAAGGCCCUGCUUUUGUGGGGUGCUCGAGUGGCGAACGGGUGAGUAACACGUGAGUAACCUGCCCUUGACUUUGGGAUAACUUCAGGAAACUGGGGCUAAUACCGGAUAGGAGCUCUUGCUGCAUGGUGGGGGUUGGAAAGUUUCGGCGGUUGGGGAUGGACUCGCGGCUUAUCAGCUUGUUGGUGGGGUAGUGGCUUACCAAGGCUUUGACGGGUAGCCGGCCUGAGAGGGUGACCGGCCACAUUGGGACUGAGAUACGGCCCAGACUCCUACGGGAGGCAGCAGUGGGGAAUAUUGCACAAUGGGCGGAAGCCUGAUGCAGCAACGCCGCGUGCGGGAUGACGGCCUUCGGGUUGUAAGCCGCUUUCGCCUGUGACGAAGCGUGAGUGACGGUAAUGGGUAAAGAAGCACCGGCUAACUACGUG
Molecule: ribosomal RNA, 468 nt
Filed under: uncultured bacterium
Lineage: Bacteria
Description: partial 16S ribosomal RNA
Rfam family: Bacterial small subunit ribosomal RNA
Source: RNAcentral